This 490-nucleotide ribosomal RNA is filed under the name uncultured bacterium. RNAcentral's name for it is "bacterial SSU rRNA". It matches the Rfam family "Bacterial small subunit ribosomal RNA", at positions 28 to 516 of the family's 1533-position model. The record is from RNAcentral.
GAUGAACGCUAGCGGCAGGCUUAACACAUGCAAGUCGAGGGGUAGAGGAAGCUUGCUUCCUUGAGACCGGCGCACGGGUGCGUAACGCGUAUACAAUCUACCUUUUACAGAGGGAUAGCCCCAGAGAAAUUUGGAUUAAUACCUCAUAGUAUUUUCGGAUCGCAUGAUUUGAUUAUUAAAGUUCCAACGGUAAAAGAUGAGUAUGCGUCCCAUUAGCUAGAUGGUAAGGUAACGGCUUACCAUGGCAAUGAUGGGUAGGGGUCCUGAGAGGGAGAUCCCCCACACUGGUACUGAGACACGGACCAGACUCCUACGGGAGGCAGCAGUGAGGAAUAUUGGACAAUGGGCGCAAGCCUGAUCCAGCCAUGCCGCGUGCAGGAAUAAGGUCCUAUGGAUUGUAAACUGCUUUUAAUACCAGGAAGAAACACACCCUCGUGAGGGUACUGACGGUACUGUAUGAAUAAGGACCGCUAACUCCGUGCCAGCAGCC